This 652-nucleotide ribosomal RNA is filed under the name Boechera subpinnatifida. Its description in RNAcentral is "eukaryotic LSU rRNA". The stretch from base 300 to 455 matches the Rfam family "5.8S ribosomal RNA". The record is from RNAcentral. Lineage: Eukaryota; Viridiplantae; Streptophyta; Magnoliopsida; Brassicales; Brassicaceae.
GUGAACCUGCGGAAGGAUCAUUGUCGAUACCUUGACCAAACAGAACGACCCGCGAACCUAUUAUCACCACUCUCGGUGGGCUGGUUUCUUAACCGAUCCCUUUCCGCCGGAUCCGUGGUUUCGUGUAUUUGUCCCGGCGGUGAGUUUUCUCUCGGUGGGGCAGUGCACGUUGCUUCCGGAUAAACACAAAACCACGGCACGAAAAGUGUCAAGGAACAUGAAAAACAUAACGGCCUUCACUCGCCUCGCCCGGAAACGGUGCGUGAGCGUAUGUUGAGCCGCGAUCUAAAGUCUAAAACGACUCUCGGCAACGGAUAUCUCGGCUCUCGCAUCGAUGAAGAACGUAGCGAAAUGCGAUACUUGGUGUGAAUUGCAGAAUCCCGUGAACCAUCGAGUCUUUGAACGCAAGUUGCGCCCGAAGCCUUUAGGCCGAGGGCACGUCUGCCUGGGUGUCACAAAUCGUCGUCCCCCCUCAUCUUUCGAUGAUUCGGGACGGAAGCUGGUCUCCCGUGUGCUCACGCAAACGGUUGGCCAAAAUCUUAGCCAAGGACGCGGGAGCGUUCCGACAUACGGUGGUGAACAUUGAUCCACUCGCAUACCAUCGGUCGCUCCUCUCCCGAAGCUCUUGAUGACCCAAAGUCUUCUAAGCGAC